CGUAGCGGCAGGCUUAACACAUGCAAGUCGAGGGGCAGCACGGGUAGCAAUACCUGGUGGCGACCGGCGCAAGGGUGCGUAACGCGUGAGCAACAUGCCCUAUACAGGGGGAUAAUCCAGGGAAACUUGGUCUAAUAUCCCAUAGUAUUUAGAGGAGGCAUCUUCUAUAAAUUAAAGCUUCGGUGGUAUAGGAUUGGCUCGCGUGACAUUAGCUAGAUGGUGAGGUAACGGCUCACCAUGGCAAUGAUGUCUAGGGGUUCUGAGAGGAAGGCCCCCCACACUGGGACUGAGACACGGCCCAGACUCCUACGGGAGGCAGCAGUGAGGAAUAUUGGACAAUGGAUGGAAAUCUGAUCCAGCCAUGCCGCGUGCAGGAAGACAGCCCUAUGGGUUGUAAACUGCUUUUAUAUGGGAGCAAUAAGGUCUACGUGUAGACUGAUGAGAGUACCAUAUGAAUAAGCAUCGGCUAACUCCGUG
RNAcentral lists this ribosomal RNA (477 nucleotides) under uncultured bacterium. RNAcentral describes it as "bacterial SSU rRNA". It matches the Rfam family "Bacterial small subunit ribosomal RNA", at positions 37 to 507 of the family's 1533-position model. The record is from RNAcentral.